RNAcentral lists this ribosomal RNA (495 nucleotides) under uncultured bacterium. Its description in RNAcentral is "partial 16S ribosomal RNA". It matches the Rfam family "Bacterial small subunit ribosomal RNA", at positions 28 to 507 of the family's 1533-position model. The record is from RNAcentral.
GACGAACGCUGGCGGCGUGCCUAAUACAUGCAAGUAGAACGCUGAAGGAGGAGCUUGCUUCUCCGGAUGAGUUGCGAACGGGUGAGUAACGCGUAGGUAACCUGCCUGGUAGCGGGGGAUAACUAUUGGAAACGAUAGCUAAUACCGCAUAACAGUAGAUGUUGCAUGACAUUUGCUUAAAAGGUGCAAUUGCAUCACUACCAGAUGGACCUGCGUUGUAUUAGCUAGUUGGUGAGGUAACGGCUCACCAAGGCGACGAUACAUAGCCGACCUGAGAGGGUGAUCGGCCACACUGGGACUGAGACACGGCCCAGACUCCUACGGGAGGCAGCAGUAGGGAAUCUUCGGCAAUGGACGGAAGUCUGACCGAGCAACGCCGCGUGAGUGAAGAAGGUUUUCGGAUCGUAAAGCUCUGUUGUAAGAGAAGAACGGGUGUGAGAGUGGUAAGUUCACACUGUGACGGUAUCUUACCAGAAAGGGACGGCUAACUACGUG